This 303-nucleotide ribosomal RNA is filed under the name uncultured bacterium. RNAcentral describes it as "partial 16S ribosomal RNA". It matches the Rfam family "Bacterial small subunit ribosomal RNA", at positions 507 to 807 of the family's 1533-position model. The record is from RNAcentral.
AGCAGCAGCCACGGGAAUGCGUAGGUGGCAAGCGUUGUCCGGAAUUAUUGGGCGUAAAGGGCUCGCAGGCGGUUUCUUAAGUCUGAUGUGAAAGCCCCCGGCUCAACCGGGGAGGGUCAUUGGAAACUGGGAAACUUGAGUGCAGAAGAGGAGAGUGGAAUUCCACGUGUAGCGGUGAAAUGCGUAGAGAUGUGGAGGAACACCAGUGGCGAAGGCGACUCUCUGGUCUGUAACUGACGCUGAGGAGCGAAAGCGUGGGGAGCGAACAGGAUUAGAUACCCCUGUAGUCCCUGUCUCUUAUAC